UACGGGGGGGGCAAGCGUUGUUCGGAAUUACUGGGCGUAAAGGGCUCGUAGGCGGCCAACUAAGUCAGACGUGAAAUCCCUCGGCUUAACCGGGGAACUGCGUCUGAUACUGGAUGGCUUGAGUUCGGGAGAGGGAUGCGGAAUUCCAGGUGUAGCGGUGAAAUGCGUAGAUAUCUGGAGGAACACCGGUGGCGAAGGCGGCAUCCUGGACCGACACUGACGCUGAGGAGCGAAAGCCAGGGAGCAAACGGG
RNAcentral lists this ribosomal RNA (252 nucleotides) under uncultured bacterium. RNAcentral's name for it is "partial 16S ribosomal RNA". It matches the Rfam family "Bacterial small subunit ribosomal RNA", at positions 524 to 776 of the family's 1533-position model. The record is from RNAcentral.